AACAUGCAGUCGAACGGCAGCACAGGAGAGCUUGCUCUCUGGGUGGCGAGUGGCGGACGGGUGAGGAAUACAUCGGAAUCUGCCCAGUCGUGGGGGAUAACGUAGGGAAACUUACGCUAAUACCGCAUACGACCUACGGGUGAAAGCAGGGGAUCUUCGGACCUUGCGCGAUUGGAUGAGCCGAUGUCGGAUUAGCUAGUUGGCGGGGUAAAGGCCCACCAAGGCGACGAUCCGUAGCUGGUCUGAGAGGAUGAUCAGCCACACUGGAACUGAGACACGGUCCAGACUCCUACGGGAGGCAGCAGUGGGGAAUAUUGGACAAUGGGCGCAAGCCUGAUCCAGCCAUGCCGCGUGGGUGAAGAAGGCCUUCGGGUUGUAAAGCCCUUUUGUUGGGAAAGAAAAGCAGCCGGCCAAUACCCGGUUGUUCUGACGGUACCCAAAGAAUAAGCACCGGCUAACUUCGUGCCAGCAGCCGCGGUAAUACGAAGGGUGCAAGCGUUACUCGGAAUUACUGGGCGUAAAGCGUGCGUAGGUGGUGGUUUAAGUCCGUUGUGAAAGCCCUGGGCUCAACCUGGGAAUUGCAGUGGAUACUGGAUCACUAGAGUGUGGUAGAGGGUAGUGGAAUUCCCGGUGUAGCAGUGAAAUGCGUAGAGAUCGGGAGGAACACCAGUGGCGAAGGCGACUACCUGGACCAACACUGACACUGAGGCACGAAAGCGUGGGGAGCAAACAGGAUUAGAUACCCUGGUAGUCCACGCCCUAAACGAUGCGAACUGGAUGUUGGGUGCACUUUGGCACGCAGUAUCGAAGCUAACGCGUUAAGUUCGCCGCCUGGGGAGUACGGUCGCAAGACUGAAACUCAAAGGAAUUGACGGGGGCCCGCACAGCGGUGGAGUAUGUGGUUUAAUUCGAUGCAACGCGAGAACCUUACCUGGUCUU
Molecule: ribosomal RNA, 939 nt
Filed under: Xanthomonas sp. UFLA CHD10.12
Lineage: Bacteria; Pseudomonadati; Pseudomonadota; Gammaproteobacteria; Lysobacterales; Lysobacteraceae
Description: bacterial SSU rRNA
Rfam family: Bacterial small subunit ribosomal RNA
Source: RNAcentral